Molecule: ribosomal RNA, 227 nt
Filed under: Staphylococcus hominis
Lineage: Bacteria; Bacillati; Bacillota; Bacilli; Caryophanales; Staphylococcaceae
Description: partial 23S ribosomal RNA
Rfam family: Bacterial large subunit ribosomal RNA
Source: RNAcentral
AUAGAUUAAGUUAUUAAGGGCGCACGGUGGAUGCCUUGGCACUAGAAGCCGAUGAAGGACGUUACUAACGACGAUAUGCUUUGGGUAGCUGUAAGUAAGCGUUGAUCCAGAGAUUUCCGAAUGGGGGAACCCAGCAUGAGUUAUGUCAUGUUAUCGACAUGUGAAUUCAUAGCAUGUCAGAAGGCAGACCCGGAGAACUGAAACAUCUUAGUCCCCGGAGGAAGAGA